RNAcentral lists this long non-coding RNA (5484 nucleotides) under Zostera marina. RNAcentral describes it as "long non-coding RNA (ZMAR_LNC004471)". Lineage: Eukaryota; Viridiplantae; Streptophyta; Magnoliopsida; Alismatales; Zosteraceae. The record is from RNAcentral.
UAAUGUGUAACACGAUUAAGUAAAGCAUAAAUAAAAUGAUACUAGGUUGACACGGAUCGAGUGUCAACGUGCAGGCGAUCGUCGUCACGGCGAGUGUCGGAAGCGUCGAUGUUGACGGCGGUGAUGACGCCGGUGUCUGGUUCAGCAAAGAGGCUCCGAGAUGACGUGGCUUGGCGAUCGGCAUUGAAUGAGAUCAGGUAAUCUGGAAGCAACGUGAUUGGUUGCUCUCCUUUAAUUAGGUGAUUCAGUGAGUGUUGAUGGGUUCUUCUGAGAGUUAUCAAACUUGAUUCUUGGUGUCCGUUGGAGUCUUUGUUUUAUACCUAAGGCUGCAACGGAUAUGUUGUCAGUAAAAAGAUUAGUUAAUAUCUUACUUUGGUCUUGUAUUUGAUACUCCCCCUCAAGACGAGCGUGUAGUGCUCUGUUUUGUAUAACUGCUGGUUUUAAUAUGUUUAGUAAAUGCAAUUUGGGGAGGAGGUAGUUGUACGUGGGCCCGGGAAGUGAUUUUGUAUAGAUGUCUGCCGGAUUCUCUUUUGUUGAAACGUAUAGCAGGUCGAUUUCCCUUGCCAGCACCUUGUCCGCACGAAGUGCACAUCUAUUUCGAUGUGCUUGGUCUUCUGGUGAGAAACGGGAUUCCUUGCUAUUGAAGCGGCGAAGGUACUGUCAGUGUAUAAGCGUGGUAGUUUCAUUCCGGUGUCUGCAUUUCGUGAAGGAGUGUGUAGAUCCAGGUGACCUCACAUGUUGCGGUGGACAAGGCACGGUAUUCUGCUUUGGCAGAAGAUUUUGAUACGGUGUGUUGUUUGCGUGUCUGCCAACUGAUCAUGUUUCUCCCUAGGUAGACGCAGUAGCCGGUAAUGGAGCGUCAAGUGGAUGCACAAGCGGCCCAGUCGGAGUCGGAGUAUGUUGCUAUUGCCUCUGUGGAGGAAGAUGAAAAAAACAAUCCGGUUCCAGGUGCGCCCUUUAUAUAGUGUAUCGUGCGUAAUGCUGGUUGCAUAUCUGUUUUUUCCGUUUUUGACAUAUGUUAACUGAGGGCGUUAACUAUAUAAGUUAUGUCCGGACGUGUUACUGUCAGGUACAUGAGUUUCCCGACCACGCUUCUGUAGAUAUGAGGAUCUUCCAUUAGGAGAUCUUCUGUGGUACCUGCAUGGUUAUUUAAGUUAGAUAUAUUCCUUUGAAUGGUGCAUGGGGUGUCUACUGGUUUUGAAUCAAGUAGACCUGCCGUGUUUAUGAUAUCUAAUGCAUAUUUGUGUUGGCAUAUUGAUAAACAUCUUUUGUUUUAGAUAUUUCGAGACCAAGGAAAUAUUUUAGUUCCCCUAGGUCGGAUAUAUUAAAGUGUCUAUGCAAGUCGAUCUUUGUUCUUUUAAUUUCUUCUAAAUUAUUUCCUGUGAUUUGUAAAUCAUCAACGUAGGUUAAUAUUAUUAUGGUAGAUUUAUCGUUCUUCCUUAUGAAGAGUGAGUAGUCGCUCUUGCUUUGGGUAAAUUUUAAAUUUUCAAGUGUUUGUGAUAGUUUGUGGUACCAAACCCUUGAUGCUUGUUUAAGGCCGUAUGGUGAUUUAUUUAACUUACAGACUGGGUUUUUUAUGUUGUAUGGUAAAUGUCCAAUUCCUUGUGGAAUGGUCAUGUAGAUUUCAUCGUUGAGGCUGCAUGAAGGAAUGCGUUCUGGACGUCCAUCUGGUGUGUGUGCCAUCCUCGAAUGGUUGCUAUGGAUAGUACAGCACGUAGUAUGGUCAUUUUGGAGACUGGUGCGAAGGUCUCGGUGUAGUCGAUUCCUUGUAGUUGAGUAUAUCCCUUCGCGACUAACCUAGCCUUGUAUUUGUUGACUGUUCCAUCAGGGUUAAUCUUCGUUUUGUAUAUCCAUUUGCAGUCGAUUGGUCGUUUUUCAUUUGGUAGGGUUGCGAUAUUCCAUGUCUGGUUUUUCUUUAGUGCAUCUAGUUCACAGUUCAUGGCCUUGAUCUAAACUUCUUGUUUUGCUGCCUGUUUGAAACUAGUUGGGUUUUGAUGGUUUAAAAGUUUCGUCAUGAACUGUCUAUGUGAGUUUGAAAUUUUUUCGUAACUUAGGUAGUUAUUGAUUUCGUAUUUUGUUGAGUGUGGAAGUUCGACCUCAUAGUCCUUCAGAUGUGCGGGUAAUCUGGUUUGCCUUUGGGAAGUUCUCGUUUCUUCCCUUUCGUUGUGGGUCAUGGGUUGUUGUUGGUCUAUUAUUUCCCUUUGGGUCGUUGGUUGUUGCUGAUCUUUUAUUGGGUCAUUUAAUUUGUUUGGUUUGGGUCAUUUUUAUUAGUUGGUUCGAGGUCUAAAUCAUUCUCGAAUGUAUAUAGGGGUGCAAAUUCUAGGUUUUCUUCUACGUCUUUUCUUCUGAAGGGGAAGUCUUCUCCAUUGAAGAUGACGUCUCUGCUGAUGUGUAUGAGUCUCAAGAAGUUAUUACGAGGAGGGUGAAGUCCAAGCGCAAGUCCAAGUUGCUCGCACGCGUCCUGUUGUAGAAAGAUCGAUCUGGAAUCGAUUUGGAAAUCAGGGAUUGAUUUGGAAAUCGGUCUGGAAUCGCGAGUUAUAAAAAUAAAUGUAUUUUGAUUGCUAAUCAAGGAUCUUCUGAUGUUGGGAUCGGAAUCGCGGGUAUGACGACUCGCGGCAGGACAACGACGAUGCUCUGGAGACGACAUGGGUCUGCUGGAAAUCUGGAAUCGGCCGCACGCGUGUGAUUCUGGACCGGUCGCACGCGUGUGGAAUCGAUCUGGAACUGACGACGAUCUGGAGACGUCGUAAGUCUGGAAUCGAUCUAAUUCUGAUCGCGCGCGUGUGAUGGGUGUGGAAUCGGUCUGGAACGCGGUGGAAGAAGGAGGGUUUUCGAGGUUGGUGAUCGGUGGAAUGGUGGAGGUUUUGGUAGGAUAACAGGUCCCAAGCAAAGAUCUUGUAAAUCUUCGUCUUCUUGGUUGUCGUUUUGGGGCAGCCAGGCAUGACGUCCUGUUGUCAGCGCGUAACUUUAGUUAUGGGUAGUGGUUGUGUUCUGCUUGGACCAAGCAACCUUUUGCAUGAGGUUGACUGGUGUGUUUAGUGGUUUUGUCAGGAGCAGGGGAUGGGUUCCUUCUCUGAUACCAUAUGAGAAACAUGUCUCGUGAUGUUUGAUAACAUGGAUUGAGUAGUUGAUUAAGUUACUAAAGAUAUGUUUAUAUAUAAUCAAAUACAUAGAAGAAGUGCUUAAGCAAUGAAACAUAAUGUGUAAUACGAUUAAGUAAAGCAUAAAUAAAGUGAUACUAGGUUGACACGGAUCGAGUGCCAACGUGCAGGCGAUCGUCGUCACGGCGAGUGUCGGAAGCGUCGAUGCUGACAGCGGUGGUGACGCCGAGUCGAGCUUGGACAUGCCAAGCUCGAGCUCGGCUCGUUAAGCUAAACGAGCUUGAGCCUUGGGCUCGGGCUCGGCUCUUUGGGCUCGCGAGCCCGUCGAGCCGGGCUUUAUUUGACACCCUAAUAACUACCAGUCUACCAUAAUUUAUUUCCAUUAACUUUAGUAACGGCAAUCAGCCAUCACUACAAAAAAACAACACAGUUCUAGCGCCCAUCUCUCGGCGCCCUGGCCGCUGGUAGAUAGGACCGACGGUCAGGCCGCCGGUAGUCUACACUUGUCCGCCGGUAUAAUUUUCUCUCGUAAAUGAGAGAAAUAAGCUGGCGGCCAGGCCGCUGGUGCCAUAUUUUUUUUAAGGCACUAGCGGCCUGGCCGCCGGCACCAAUUCUCCCAACGGUCGGGAAGAAAUGAGCUAGCGGCCAGGCCGCCAGCAUCCUAAAACCCUCAACGAUCGGGAGAAAAAUAGCUGGCGGCCAGGCCGUCGGCUAAUUUUCCCGCUUGUUUUCCAACGACUUGGCCGUCGGAAAUUUUUGGAAACCCUAGUUUAUAACUUGCGCCGCCGUGGUCCCCCCGUAGAGUCAAACAUAAUCGACUACAACUUAAGUAUAUCCCAGCGGCCUGACCGCCAGGAAUUUUUUAUAUAAGUAAAAAAAAAUCCAGAUUCUUUCAUUUCCCCCCCCCCCGAAUCGUCCCCACGCCUUCCUAAUCUUCCCCAACUCCCCUCCGACGAUCUAGCCUUCCUCCGGUCAUUUUUUUGUGGUCAUCAAAGGUAAAUCUUCUCUUCAUAUUCUUCUUCAUCUUUCUCUCUUCUUUUUGGUUUCCUCUUCUUCUUCUUCCCGUUUUUCUUCAUCUUCUCUUCUUUUUAUUUUCUUCUUCUUCAUUUAAUCUUCAUUUUUUGUUAAUAUUGUUCUUCAUUUGAUUGAUUGUUUUAUUUUAUUUUUUUCUUUAUGUUAAUUGAUUUUGUUGUUGAUCUUCAUUUUUUGAUUUUGAUUUGGGGUUUAUUUGAUUAUUGUAUUUAGGGGUUUAAAUUAUUUUAAUGUUUAUGUAUUUGGAAUUUGUGUAUUUUAGCGUUUAUGUAUUUUUGGGUGUUUUAGAUUUUUAUUAUAAUUAAUAUGUAUGUUAGUUAGUAUAAUUAAUAUGUUUGGGGGUUUUAGGGUUUAUUUUUUGGUGUUUAUAUAUUAAUAUAUGUUUGGGGUUUAUAUGAUUAUUGUAUUUAGAGACUUUAAUUUGUUUAUGAUUUAAACACUAAUUUGUUUUUAGUUUAUGAUAUAUGUACUGUUUUAAUUUGUUUAGUAAUUUAGUGUUUUUAGUAAUAAAUCUUUAUUUAGUUAAAAUGAAUGCAUGAAUUAAAAUAAAAUCAAAUUUUAAAUAAAUUUAAAAAUUAUUUAAAUAAAUGUUUAGUAAUUAUUUUCUAUAAAUGUGAUUUUUAAUUAGUUUUUCAUAAAUAUUUAGUAAUUAUUUAUUAAUUGGAUUGGUUAAUAAUUAAUAAUUAUUUAAUUAAUUAAUUAGGGUUAGGGUUAGGGUUAGUUAGUUUUUAAAUAAUUGUUUAAUAAUUAAUUAAGAUAAUAUUGAAAAUUGCAAUAAUCAGUUUUUAUAUUAAGAAACUGAUUUAAAAUCCAAUGUUUAAAACAAUUAUCUAAAAAUUAAUAUUUAUUUAUUUAUUAAUUAAAAAAAGUAACAAUCAAAUUUUCUAUAAGUGUGAUAGUUAGUUUUGAAAUAAAUGUUUAUUAAUCAAUUAUAAUUGUAUGUAUUUCAGUUGAAUGUCUGAAAUCCGGGUACCCGAUAAGACUUGGUUAACUUUGACCCCCUCUAGCCAAGAAUUCAGAGAUGGACUGACGACGUUUGUUCAAUAUGGUUUACGAAAAUGUCAUGGUUUGUAUAAGGAAGGAUAUUUACCAUGUCCAUGUAGAGAUUGUACUAAUAGAAAUGUCAUGAUGUGAAAUUUCUUUCGUUUUAUGUGUCAAAUUUUAAAAAGACAAAAUCACGGAGUAUUAGUCUCCGCCAUUACAUCCCAAGCUUUUUCACGCGGCCAGGCGACCAGGCGAUGUCUGGGACCGCAUAUGCGACCGCCUGGUCGCAUAUGCGGUCCAAUAUGCGACAUUUAUUUAUUUAUUUUUCAAUAUACCCCCUGUAUUUUUUAUAUUUUAAAUAAAUCCC